Molecule: non-coding RNA, 28 nt
Filed under: Mus musculus (house mouse)
Lineage: Eukaryota; Metazoa; Chordata; Mammalia; Rodentia; Muridae
Source: RNAcentral
UGAGAGGAGCCAUUCCAUUGCCUGAACC